CUCAGGUGCGAAAGCGUGGGGAGCAAACAGGAUUAGAUACCCUGGUAGUCCACGCCGUAAACGAUGUCGACUUGGAGGUUGUGCCCUUGAGGCGUGGCUUCCGGAGCUAACGCGUUAAGUCGACCGCCUGGGGAGUACGGCCGCAAGGUUAAAACUCAAAUGAAUUGACGGGGGCCCGCACAAGCGGUGGAGCAUGUGGUUUAAUUCGAUGCAACGCGAAGAACCUUACCUGGUCUUGACAUCCACGGAAGUUUUCAGAGAUGAGAAUGUGCCUUCGGGAACCGUGAGACAGGUGCUGCAUGGCUGUCGUCAGCUCGUGUUGUGAAAUGUUGGGUUAAGUCCCGCAACGAGCGCAACCCUUAUCCUUUGUUGCCAGCGGUCCGGCCGGGAACUCAAAGGAGACUGCCAGUGAUAAACUGGAGGAAGGUGGGGACGACGUCAAGUCAUCAUGGCCCUUACGACCAGGGCUACACACGUGCUACAAUGGCGCAUACAAAGAGAAGCGACCUCGCGAGAGCAAGCGGACCUCAUAAAGUGCGUCGUAGUCCGGAUUGGAGUCUGCAACUCGACUCCAUGAAGUCGGAAUCGCUAGUAAUCGUGGAUCAGAAUGCCACGGUGAAUACGUUCCCGGGCCUUGUACACACCGCCCGUCACACCAUGGGAGUGGGUUGCAAAAGAAGUAGGUAGCUUAACCUUCGGGAGGGCGCUUACCACUUUGUGAUUCAUGACUGGGGUGAAGUCGUAACAAGGUAACCGUAGGGGAACCUGCGGUUGGAUCACCUCCUUACCUUAAAGAAGC
This 799-nucleotide ribosomal RNA is filed under the name Shigella boydii. Its description in RNAcentral is "bacterial SSU rRNA". It matches the Rfam family "Bacterial small subunit ribosomal RNA", at positions 746 to 1533 of the family's 1533-position model. The record is from RNAcentral. Lineage: Bacteria; Pseudomonadati; Pseudomonadota; Gammaproteobacteria; Enterobacterales; Enterobacteriaceae.